RNAcentral lists this ribosomal RNA (580 nucleotides) under uncultured Amanitaceae. RNAcentral describes it as "eukaryotic LSU rRNA". The stretch from base 205 to 358 matches the Rfam family "5.8S ribosomal RNA". Lineage: Eukaryota; Fungi; Basidiomycota; Agaricomycetes; Agaricales; Amanitaceae. The record is from RNAcentral.
UGAACCUUGAGGCUGUUGCUGGCCUGUCUGGGCAAUGUGCACGUCUCUGGUCAUUACCAAUUCCACCUGUGCACACUUGUAGACACUUGGGAAUGAGAGANUUUGACCAGUCUCUUGAGAGAAUNNAAGUCUGGGUGUCUAUGCCAUUUUAUUAAACACUAGUUGUAUGUUUAUAGAAUGUUGAGUUGAUAAAAUAUAAAAUACAACUUUCAACAACGGAUCUCUUGGCUCUCGCAUCGAUGAAGAACGCAGCGAAAUGCGAUAAGUAAUGUGAAUUGCAGAAUUCAGUGAAUCAUCGAAUCUUUGAACGCACCUUGCGCUCCUUGGCAUUCUGAGGAGCAUGCCUGUUUGAGUGUCAUUAACAUCUCNNGACCUGUCUGCUUUUGAUAGGUAUUGGAUUUUGGGGGUUGCAGGCUGUUUCAGAUUGCUUGCUCUCCUUGAAUGUAUUAGUGGAGAAAAUCCAUUGAACUCCUUUGGUGUGAUAACAUCUAUCAAUGNCAGGAGCAAUGUGUCAGUUGUCUCUGCUGUCUAACCUAGCUGUCCAUAAACAUGGNCAACUUGACCCACUUGACNUCAAAUC